UGUGGGCAUUUAAGACUACCGGAGGUCUCUAAAGGGUAAUACUCAACAACCAAUACCCGCGCAGUCAGUAGUGAUUGAUAUAAAGCACGAGAGAUCUGCGUAUCUGUCCUUACUUCUUCAACAGUCACUCUACAGAUAAGAUAACUUAAGAUGCUGCGGUCAGAACAGUACCUUUGGAUCGUUCUGUUUGCCUUUUUGGCAGUUUGCUCUAUAUCACAGGCAAGAGGGAUACAGAAACGAAGUGAAGGAUCCAGCUUUACGAAUCAGGUUGCGACAAAAGAAGAACACGAGGCAACAGGUAGGAUGCUGCUGCGGCUGUUAGACGCCGCCAUCGAGGGUCUGCGAGAGCAAGGAGAUGAUGGGAACGCUGUAACAAACCUCGUCAAAAAGAGGGAUUACGUACGAGAUUGCUUCUUCCACGCUGUCAGUUGCUACGGGCGGAAGUAGAUGAACAUCAGCGCCGUCUGGUGUGAGAAGGUGAUAGCAGUGCCAUCUAGCGAAAGAAAGAGGAGGUGUCCGAUGUCAGUGCCAUCAGUGGAAUAUUUGUAAAAUAAUUGUAACUUUUUAGUUCAUGUUUAUUUGCGUACGUAAAAGGAAUAACUUUGAAAAGAAAAGCGCACUGGAGAUCACUCUUACUUUGCUCAAUACAUCAAACACGAGAUAUCACCAAUACUUUUCAAAAUGGCUUCUUUCUCCAGAGCACCUGCUACACAGCAUCGUAUGAUAAGCAUUUACAGAUCGCCGAAAUAACAACUCGUUGAUUUAUCUGCAACAUCAGCCUCGUGAGAAAGUAAUGCGGCCAUUCUGACUGGAUAUGGAGACACGAAAUCUCGCAUGAAAGGAAAGUUAGCUUGGCAACACCAAAUGGACUUAUACCGAUAAUCUUCGUUCCUCAAAUUGUUGACACGUGGUGAUGAAUCUACGAAGUUGCAUUCCUGUCCGUGGAUCGACAUUCAGUAUUGUUGGUCCUCUUGUGACUUUUCUGUGUUCGUACAUGGAUGUAAGAAAACGGGCUUUUAAAGAACUUUAAGAUAGGUUGAACUGACUUCCUUUUACAGCUUGAAAGAUGCGCCAACAUCCAAAACCGACAAACCAGGCUCGCGCGGGAGCGCCAUCAGAGGGACCUGGUGAAUGUCUCCAUCUAGAUAUCUAUAUGACUUCAGCCAAAUACAUUCGGUCGUUACAUGUAUUUCAAAAGACAGGCCAGUCAGAAAAUAAUUGUUUAUUCACACAAAGAGGUGUAAGAUUCCGUUUUCAAAGUCUGAAAUAAAAUGUUUGUUUCCUAA
This is a long non-coding RNA of Lineus longissimus, 1286 nucleotides long. RefSeq lists it as uncharacterized. The record is from RefSeq and is a predicted model, not a curated record. The transcript has 2 exons. Lineage: Eukaryota; Metazoa; Nemertea; Pilidiophora; Heteronemertea; Lineidae.